UACAGAGGUGGCAAGCGUUGUUCGGAAUUACUGGGCGUAAAGGGCGCGUAGGCGGCCAUCUAAGUCAGACGUGAAAUCCCCAGGCUUAACCUGGGAACUGCAUCUGAUACUGGAUGGCUUGAAUCCGGGAGAGGGAUGCAGAAUUCCAGGUGUAGCGGUGAAAUGCGUAGAUAUCUGGAGGAAUACCGGUGGCGAAGGCGGCAUCCUGGACCGGCAUUGACGCUGAGGCGCGAAAGCCAGGGGAGCAAACGGG
RNAcentral lists this ribosomal RNA (253 nucleotides) under uncultured bacterium. RNAcentral's name for it is "partial 16S ribosomal RNA". It matches the Rfam family "Bacterial small subunit ribosomal RNA", at positions 524 to 776 of the family's 1533-position model. The record is from RNAcentral.